GCCUUGUCACUUCUCCCCUGAAGAGUCUCCAGGUGUGGCUUCCAGGCUCUGGGUGUCCGGCACAGAGGGCUGAGCAGGACACUGAAAAGAGAAGCAACCUUACAGCGGCUCCUCCUGUCUACCCACCCGCCUGUCUCUCUGUCGCAAUCUGCUCUCCUGGCUCCUUCCUGCCCGGCUGCUGAGGGCUCUUCUCCCCGAGACCUCCAUGCAGAGAGGAAUGCCUGCAACCCGAGCCUGUGUCCCCCACGAGCACUCUGGGCCAGACCUCAAGACUGGAGCAGCGGCACCCUCUCCGUGGAUGAGCACUUCCUGUGCCCAGCUGCCAGUCAGCUCGGGUGCUGGCACCCGCCCGCCGGCCUUACCUGCCUGGCCAGGUGAGCGCCAUGAGUGAACGUGCUUCUUAGACGCCAGAGGAACACAGACAGCUACAGCCUCCUUCUGGGAAGUGAAGGAGGAGAACCCAGUUCUCUUGUGCUGACCGUUCACAGCCAGGCCCCUUCCCGG
This is a long non-coding RNA of Heterocephalus glaber (naked mole-rat), 504 nucleotides long. Lineage: Eukaryota; Metazoa; Chordata; Mammalia; Rodentia; Bathyergidae. The record is from Ensembl.